UCUUGGGUUUCGCGGGUUGUUGGCUUCGCAAGUAGUCCUCAACCUCUUCAAUGUGUCGCUUAUAGUUGUUCCCUCGGAACUCCAGCUCCUGUAUCUUCGUGAAGA
Molecule: non-coding RNA, 105 nt
Filed under: Rhodosorus marinus
Lineage: Eukaryota; Rhodophyta; Stylonematophyceae; Stylonematales; Stylonemataceae
Source: RNAcentral